AAUGAUAUGCUUGUCUCAAAGAUUAAGCCAUGCAAGUGUCAGUUCAUACCUUCAUAUGGUGAAACCGCGAAUGGCUCAUUAAAUCAGCUAUAAUUCCUUAGAUCUUACGUUUAUACUUGGAUAACCGUAGUAAUUCUAGAGCUAAUACACGGUCCACUUGACGGAGAGAAAGCUCGCUUUAUCACCGUCGGACUUAUUAGUUCAAAAGUCAACCGGCCUCUGGCUGUAGAUUUUUGAGAACUCUGGAUAAUUUACUAGAUCGUAUGGCCCUGUGCCGACGACGUAUCUUUCAAGUAUCUGACCUAUCAGCUUGAUGGUGGGAGCUUUGCCUACCAUGGCUAUAACGGGUAACGGGGAAUCAGGGUUCGAUUCCGGAGAGGGAGCCUUAGAAACGGCUACCACAUCUAAGGAAGGCAGCAGGCGCGCAAAUUACCCACUUGCAGUGCAAGGCAGAGGUAGUGACAAUAAAUAACAAUGCAGAACUCUUUUGAGGCUCUGCAAUUGGAAUGAGAACAAUUUAAAUCCUUUAACGAGGAUCAAUUGGAGGGCAAGUCUGGUGCCAGCAGCCGCGGUAAUUCCAGCUCCAAUAGCGUAUAUUAAAAUUGUUGCGGUUAAAAAGCUCGUAGUUGGAUUUCAGAUGGAGUUCUGAGUCGACUCAUUAGAGUUGUACUUGGAUAAUCUGUCUCGUAAGCCGCCAUGUUGAAUUGAUCGCACUUAAUUGUGUGUCUUUUCGCACGGCAUGUUUACUUAGAGAAAAUUAGAGUGCUCAAAGCAGACCAUUUUAUGAGUCUGAAUAGUUAUGCUUGGAAUAAUGGAAGAGACUUGG
This 826-nucleotide ribosomal RNA is filed under the name uncultured eukaryote. Its description in RNAcentral is "bacterial SSU rRNA". It matches the Rfam family "Eukaryotic small subunit ribosomal RNA", at positions 21 to 831 of the family's 1831-position model. The record is from RNAcentral.